UGUACGAUUUAUAAAUUUGUAGUAUUAAAUAAAUGAAUUUUUAUUAUAAGUAAGAAUACUCAUAUAUAAUAAAGGGACGAUAAGACCCUAGAAGCUUCAAUUUGAAGGGUACAUAAUAUAUUUAUAUUUAUAGUUUAUAUAUCUCAAAAUUUUAGUUGGGGAAAUGAGAAUUAUUAAAAUAUUUUUAUACUUUGUUAGAUCUUUUCAAUAAACAAUUUUGGAUUAGUUACUCUAGGGAUAACAGCGUAAUAAUUUUGGGUAGACCAUAUAUAUAAAAUUGAUUGCGACCUCGAUGUUGAAUUAAGAUAUCUUAGUAAAGUAAAAAUUAUUAUAGAAG
This 337-nucleotide ribosomal RNA is filed under the name Metacrangonyx samanensis. RNAcentral describes it as "partial 16S ribosomal RNA". Lineage: Eukaryota; Metazoa; Arthropoda; Malacostraca; Amphipoda; Metacrangonyctidae. The record is from RNAcentral.